UCGGCUCGAGCGACGGUGCCGACAGGCUGAGCGCAGCGGGAUAGGAAGAGAAGCUUUCGCCGGGCACUGCCGAUCAAGCGGCGGGCCACGUCCCGACAAGCCCGGUCGUGCCCCUGCUGAAUCACGCUUCGCCCCGGCUUACAGCGCUGUCCUCGGAGGCUACCUGGCGGAUCAUGCAAUGGCCGAGCUGUGCCCCGGCUCCUAUGUUGCUGAGAUAGGCCGCACUACGGCGUUCGUCGCCGUUCCUCAAGCGCCGAGGCCAGGCUGCGCUCCGGCUCGCGCCACUGUCGUAGCUACUUGCGGCUGAGCUACGCCGCAGCCAACGCUACUCAACGCCUGCGGCUCGAAUCGACUACCAAUGAAACUGCCGGUCUGUGAUGAUGAUGAUGGAGCAGCACUGGCUGCUGCCACCAAGGGGACGGAUGGAGUUACUACUGGGCCACUGACUGCGGUCCCUGUAGACUCCUGAGACCACUGCGGUGCUGUCCCCUGCCGCACCGCACUGGCGUAGGUUGUUAGAGCAGGGGCAAGAUCUUGAAUAUGCUGGGUGCUCUCCUUUGCAGUUCGUACAGUGUGGAGCAGCGUUGCAGUUCUCCGAUUGAUGGUCAUUGGCACUACACUUUGCACAUGUCGAUUUACCUCUGCAUGAUUGCGAUGCAUGUCCAAAUCUCUGGCACUUGAAAUACCGCCUCGGGUUCGGGAUAUACGGUCUUACGUUGAUCUUAAGAUAGCCUACAUCAAGUGUAGUAGGUACAAUACUGGUA
This is a long non-coding RNA of Dermacentor albipictus, 764 nucleotides long. RefSeq lists it as uncharacterized. NCBI's taxonomy places the organism in Eukaryota, Metazoa, Arthropoda, Arachnida, Ixodida, Ixodidae. The record is from RefSeq and is a predicted model, not a curated record.